CUAAGCGGGACAAAGGAAGGCGAGCGCUGAGGCGAGAGCGCGGUUCGGGGGGCGCGGGGUGACCCGGCCCCGCAUCCCGGCCGGGCAGCUGCCCGACACCGCCGGCCCCCGCGCUGGCCCUGGGGAAACUCCUCCUGCCCACACCGCCGGUGGAGCUGCCCCCGCCCCGAGCCGGUGCGCCGCAGCGCCGGGGCUACCUGCCACCCUCCAGCCCGGGCCGGCCGCCGUGUGGGGAUGAGGCUUGUGGGAGACCCGGGCACAGGGGACCCUGUGCAGGGCCCUGGCAGCUGCCUGCUGUGUGAGCCGCGUAAUCUACGUAAUAACCUGCCCAUCUCAGAGGGCACCGUAACCAGCGAGUGUGACCCGCGAGAAAAACGCGCUUUCUAGCGACAUAACCAGCGGCAGG
This is a long non-coding RNA of Onychostruthus taczanowskii (white-rumped snowfinch), 406 nucleotides long. RefSeq lists it as uncharacterized. The transcript has 2 exons. NCBI's taxonomy places the organism in Eukaryota, Metazoa, Chordata, Aves, Passeriformes, Passeridae. The record is from RefSeq and is a predicted model, not a curated record.